GGAAUCUUCCACAAUGGGCGGAAAGCCUGAUGGAGCAACGCCGCGUGUGUGAUGAAGGCUUUCGGGUCGUAAAGCACUGUUGUAUGGGAAGAACAGCUAGAAUAGGAAAUGAUUUUAGUUUGACGGUACCAUACCAGAAAGGGACGGCUAAAUACGUGCCAG
Molecule: ribosomal RNA, 162 nt
Filed under: uncultured bacterium
Lineage: Bacteria
Description: partial 16S ribosomal RNA
Rfam family: Bacterial small subunit ribosomal RNA
Source: RNAcentral